Molecule: ribosomal RNA, 441 nt
Filed under: uncultured bacterium
Lineage: Bacteria
Description: partial 16S ribosomal RNA
Rfam family: Bacterial small subunit ribosomal RNA
Source: RNAcentral
GAUGAACGCUGGCGGCGUGCCUAAUACAUGCAAGUCGAACGGGGGGUAGCAAUACUCUUAGUGGCUAACGGGUGAGUAACGCGGUGGUACCUGCCCCGAAGCGGGGGAUAACGGACCGAAAUGUCCGCUAAGACCCCAUGUGCGCGGAAACGAGUAAAGGUGAAAACCACUCUGGGAGGGGCAUGCGCCCCAUCAGCUAGUUGGUAAGGUAACGGCGUACGAAGGCGAUGACGGGUAGCGGACCUGAGAGGGUGGCCCCCCACAAUGGAACUGAGACACGGUCCAUACACCUACGGGUGGCAGCAGUAGGGAAUAUUGGUAAUGGGCGCGAGCCUGAACCAGCAACGCCGCGUGUGCGAUGACGGCCUUCGGGUUGUAAAGCACUUUUGACUGGGACGAGGAAGGACGGUACCGGUCGAAUCAGCCUCGGCUAACUACGUG